Molecule: transfer RNA, 70 nt
Filed under: Leiocephalus personatus (Haitian curlytail lizard)
Lineage: Eukaryota; Metazoa; Chordata; Lepidosauria; Squamata; Leiocephalidae
Description: tRNA-Phe
Rfam family: tRNA
About the family: Transfer RNA (tRNA) molecules are approximately 80 nucleotides in length. Their secondary structure includes four short double-helical elements and three loops (D, anti-codon, and T loops).
Source: RNAcentral
GUUAUUGUAGCUUAUUAUAAAGCACGGCACUGAAAAUGCCAAGAAGAGAUUUUAAUCGUCUCCAAAAACA